GUGCUGGCUUCGGCAGCACAUAUACUAAAAUUGGAAUGAUACAGAGAAGAUUAGCAUGGCCCCUGAAAAAAAAAAAAAAAAAAAGAAAUUGCCACACUGUCU
Small nuclear RNA from Cebus imitator (Panamanian white-faced capuchin), 102 nucleotides. The record is from Ensembl. NCBI's taxonomy places the organism in Eukaryota, Metazoa, Chordata, Mammalia, Primates, Cebidae.